UGCUUAAUGAUCCUUUGUUUCAGAUCAUCAGUGAGAACAGCUGGAGUAGAGGAGUUCUCGUGAUCUUUAAUUGGAUCCUCGCAGUGGUCGUGAUCAUGAUCGUCAUCUGACGGUGGAACUGGAACAUCAGGGAUGUCGUGCUCGGGUGAUCCAACGGGAGAGAAAUCUGGAUCGAGCCGAGGAGACGGUGGGUUCGAAUCCACGGCCGGGAUGGCGGUGGUAGAGGUGGGACCCUCUAAGCCGUCCAUUUUCUGGGGACGGAAGGAGAGGGGUAGAGGACGAAGAAAAGAGUAUUGAGGCAAGAAUAGGCUGAAAUGAGAUUCCCUUUAGGUAAAACCCCUCCCGCCCAUUCUUCUUUCUUCUCCUGCUCUCUCUCUCAAGUUGCUUUUCUAACCUCUGC
This 400-nucleotide long non-coding RNA is filed under the name Citrus maxima (pomelo). Its description in RNAcentral is "long non-coding RNA (CMAX_LNC001119)". The record is from RNAcentral. Lineage: Eukaryota; Viridiplantae; Streptophyta; Magnoliopsida; Sapindales; Rutaceae.